RNAcentral lists this ribosomal RNA (433 nucleotides) under uncultured bacterium. Its description in RNAcentral is "partial 16S ribosomal RNA". It matches the Rfam family "Bacterial small subunit ribosomal RNA", at positions 29 to 507 of the family's 1533-position model. The record is from RNAcentral.
AACGAACGCUGGCGGCAUGCCUAACACAUGCAAGUCGAACGAGACCUUCGGGUCUAGUGGCGCACGGGUGCGUAACGCGUGGGAACCUGCCCUUAGGUUCGGAAUAACUCCCCGAAAGGGGUGCUAAUACCGGAUAAUGUCUUCGGACCAAAGAUUUAUUGGCUUUGGAUGGGCCCGCGUUGGAUUAGCUAGUUGGUAGGGUAAAAGCCUACCAAGGCGACGAUCCAUAGCUGGUCUGAGAGGAUGAUCAGCCACACUGGGACUGAGACACGGCCCAGACUCCUACGGGAGGCAGCAGUGGGGAAUAUUGGACGAUGGGCGAAAGCCUGAUCCAGCAAUGCCGCGUGAGUGAUGAAGGCCUUAGGGUUGUAAAGCUCUUUUACCCGGGAUGAUAAUGACAGUACCGGGAGAAUAAGCUCCGGCUAACUCCGUG